AAAGUCUAAACAAAAAGUAAGGUUUUCUCCCGCAGUACAGCCAAAGCAUUGCAAUGUCCUUCUGUUUGUACUUAGUCCAAUAAAUGUGUGGGUUUUUUUCCCACAAGUACUGACCCAAUGAAUACUGUACAAUGUUUUUUGGGUUUUGUUGGACUGACCAAUGACUUUUAACCUUUAGUAACCAAGAUAGCGAAAGAAGAUCCACAAAUAGGC
Non-coding RNA from Pelobates cultripes (western spadefoot toad), 213 nucleotides. NCBI's taxonomy places the organism in Eukaryota, Metazoa, Chordata, Amphibia, Anura, Pelobatidae. The record is from the annotation of a GenBank genome assembly.